Molecule: ribosomal RNA, 787 nt
Filed under: uncultured bacterium
Lineage: Bacteria
Description: bacterial SSU rRNA
Rfam family: Bacterial small subunit ribosomal RNA
Source: RNAcentral
AGAGUUUGAUCCUGGCUCAGGAUGAACGCUAGCGGCAGGCUUAACACAUGCAAGUCGAGGGGUAUAGGUUUUCGGACCUAGAGACCGGCGCACGGGUGCGUAACGCGUAUGCAAUCUACCUUUUACAGAGGGAUAGCCCAGAGAAAUUUGGAUUAAUACCUCAUAGUAUUACAGAAUGGCAUCAUUCAGUAAUUAAAGUCACAACGGUAAAAGAUGAGCAUGCGUCCCAUUAGCUUGUUGGUAAGGUAACGGCUUACCAAGGCAACGAUGGGUAGGGGUCCUGAGAGGGAGAUCCCCCACACUGGUACUGAGACACGGACCAGACUCCUACGGGAGGCAGCAGUGAGGAAUAUUGGUCAAUGGGCGCAAGCCUGAACCAGCCAUGCCGCGUGCAGGAUGACGGUCCUAUGGAUUGUAAACUGCUUUUGUACAGGAAGAAACAUCUCUACGUGUAGAGACUUGACGGUACUGUAAGAAUAAGGAUCGGCUAACUCCGUGCCAGCAGCCGCGGUAAUACGGAGGAUCCAAGCGUUAUCCGGAAUCAUUGGGUUUAAAGGGUCCGUAGGCGGUUUUGUAAGUCAGUGGUGAAAGCCCAUCGCUCAACGGUGGAACGGCCAUUGAUACUGCAAGACUUGAAUUAUUAGGAAGUAACUAGAAUAUGUAGUGUAGCGGUGAAAUGCUUAGAGAUUACAUGGAAUACCAAUUGCGAAGGCAGGUUACUACUAAUGGAUUGACGCUGAUGGACGAAAGCGUGGGGAGCGAACAGGAUUAGAUACCCUAGUAGUCC